RNAcentral lists this ribosomal RNA (1422 nucleotides) under Streptococcus thermophilus. RNAcentral describes it as "16S ribosomal RNA". It matches the Rfam family "Bacterial small subunit ribosomal RNA". Lineage: Bacteria; Bacillati; Bacillota; Bacilli; Lactobacillales; Streptococcaceae. The record is from RNAcentral.
AUACAUGCAGUAGAACGCUGAAGAGAGGAGCUUGCUCUUCUUGGAUGAGUUGCGAACGGGUGAGUAACGCGUAGGUAACCUGCCUUGUAGCGGGGGAUAACUAUUGGAAACGAUAGCUAAUACCGCAUAACAAUGGAUGACACAUGUCAUUUAUUUGAAAGGGGCAAUUGCUCCACUACAAGAUGGACCUGCGUUGUAUUAGCUAGUAGGUGAGGUAAUGGCUCACCUAGGCGACGAUACAUAGCCGACCUGAGAGGGUGAUCGGCCACACUGGGACUGAGACACGGCCCAGACUCCUACGGGAGGCAGCAGUAGGGAAUCUUCGGCAAUGGGGGCAACCCUGACCGAGCAACGCCGCGUGAGUGAAGAAGGUUUUCGGAUCGUAAAGCUCUGUUGUAAGUCAAGAACGGGUGUGAGAGUGGAAAGUUCACACUGUGACGGUAGCUUACCAGAAAGGGACGGCUAACUACGUGCCAGCAGCCGCGGUAAUACGUAGGUCCCGAGCGUUGUCCGGAUUUAUUGGGCGUAAAGCGAGCGCAGGCGGUUUGAUAAGUCUGAAGUUAAAGGCUGUGGCUCAACCAUAGUUCGCUUUGGAAACUGUCAAACUUGAGUGCAGAAGGGGAGAGUGGAAUUCCAUGUGUAGCGGUGAAAUGCGUAGAUAUAUGGAGGAACACCGGUGGCGAAAGCGGCUCUCUGGUCUGUAACUGACGCUGAGGCUCGAAAGCGUGGGGAGCGAACAGGAUUAGAUACCCUGGUAGUCCACGCCGUAAACGAUGAGUGCUAGGUGUUGGAUCCUUUCCGGGAUUCAGUGCCGCAGCUAACGCAUUAAGCACUCCGCCUGGGGAGUACGACCGCAAGGUUGAAACUCAAAGGAAUUGACGGGGGCCCGCACAAGCGGUGGAGCAUGUGGUUUAAUUCGAAGCAACGCGAAGAACCUUACCAGGUCUUGACAUCCCGAUGCUAUUUCUAGAGAUAGAAAGUUACUUCGGUACAUCGGUGACAGGUGGUGCAUGGUUGUCGUCAGCUCGUGUCGUGAGAUGUUGGGUUAAGUCCCGCAACGAGCGCAACCCCUAUUGUUAGUUGCCAUCAUUCAGUUGGGCACUCUAGCGAGACUGCCGGUAAUAAACCGGAGGAAGGUGGGGAUGACGUCAAAUCAUCAUGCCCCUUAUGACCUGGGCUACACACGUGCUACAAUGGUUGGUACAACGAGUUGCGAGUCGGUGACGGCGAGCUAAUCUCUUAAAGCCAAUCUCAGUUCGGAUUGUAGGCUGCAACUCGCCUACAUGAAGUCGGAAUCGCUAGUAAUCGCGGAUCAGCACGCCGCGGUGAAUACGUUCCCGGGCCUUGUACACACCGCCCGUCACACCACGAGAGUUUGUAACACCCGAAGUCGGUGAGGUAACCUUUUGGAGCCAGCCGCCU